ACCCUUAGUUAUGAUCAUAUGUUAACCAUGAAGUGUCCUCAUUGUUUAACAUAUUGCUUGGGUCUUUGUUCACUUUGAAUGACGGAAUUUGGUCAUCCCUUUCAUAAUCACCUAACAUGUCUGACUUGUCCCCAAUUCUGACAAUGUUUCUUUUUCCGGGAAGAACUAUGUGACGCUUUGGCUCAUGAUUUACUUUCGUGUUGUCAUCAUUUUUCCCUUUCUUUGGUUUUGUAGAGAUGUCUUCCACUAAGAACACCUGACU
This 262-nucleotide long non-coding RNA is filed under the name Sorghum bicolor (sorghum). Its description in RNAcentral is "long non-coding RNA (SBIC_LNC007653)". The record is from RNAcentral. Lineage: Eukaryota; Viridiplantae; Streptophyta; Magnoliopsida; Poales; Poaceae.